This 469-nucleotide long non-coding RNA is filed under the name Manihot esculenta (cassava). RNAcentral's name for it is "long non-coding RNA (MESC_LNC010303)". The record is from RNAcentral. Lineage: Eukaryota; Viridiplantae; Streptophyta; Magnoliopsida; Malpighiales; Euphorbiaceae.
CGACCCUUGGCCCUUUUAUAGGUGGCUGGCCAGACCACCUUCGGCAGCCGAACGUGAAGCCGCAACCAUGCAAUGUUCGGCGGCCGAAAGUGACCUUCGGCGGCCGAACCUUUGCAUUUCUCCCUUGUUGCUUUUCUUUCAAAACUCAAGUCUUUUAACACUUCAAAACAUGAAAACAAGUGAAAAUACCUUGGAAAACAUAUGCAUUACCCUUCUCGAGGGUUCCGACACCCGAGAUUCCACCGGACGACAGGAAUGCCGAUGCCGGACUCGAGCCGGGUAUUACAUUCUCCCCCCCUUAAGAACAUUCGUCCCCGAAUGUCCCUAACACAACAUAAACACAUAGAAAAGGGGAAAAACUAACCUCAAAACAAAUAUGGGUAUUGCUGGAGCAUGGACUCCCGAGUCUCCCAAGUGCACUCUUCUAGGUUGUGGUGGUUCCACAGCACUUUCACCAUUGGUAUAUCCU